Molecule: non-coding RNA, 193 nt
Organism: Cyphomyrmex costatus
Lineage: Eukaryota; Metazoa; Arthropoda; Insecta; Hymenoptera; Formicidae
Source: Rfam
AUCGCUUCUCGGCUCUCUGAGCUAAGAUCAAAGUGUAGUAUCUGUUCUUAUCAGCUUAAUAUCUGAUACAGUCCCCAUAGGGGGCUCAGUAUAUUAAUCUAUUUUUUGGGACCAGGCGGGUGCUCGGAGCUUGCUCCGACCUCACCACGGGUCGACUCCGCACUGCAUUACAGCGGAGUGCGGCCCAGUGAAU